CGCGAGCUGGGUUCAGAACGUCGUGAGACAGUUCGGUCCCUAUCCGUCGUGGGCGUAGGAAAUUUGAGAGGAGCUGUCCUUAGUACGAGAGGACCGGGAUGGACGCACCGCUGGUGUACCAGUUGUUCUGCCAAGGGCAUAGCUGGGUAGCUAUGUGCGGAAGGGAUAAGUGCUGAAAGCAUCUAAGCAUGAAGCCCCCCUCAAGAUGAGAUUUCCCAUAGCGUAAGCUAGUAAGAUCCCUGAAAGAUGAUCAGGUUGAUAGGUUCGAGGUGGAAGCAUGGUGACAUGUGGAGCUGACGAAUACUAAUAGAUCGAGGACUUAACCAU
RNAcentral lists this ribosomal RNA (327 nucleotides) under Bacillus sp. 166amftsu. RNAcentral describes it as "bacterial LSU rRNA". It matches the Rfam family "Bacterial large subunit ribosomal RNA", at positions 2599 to 2925 of the family's 2925-position model. Lineage: Bacteria; Bacillati; Bacillota; Bacilli; Caryophanales; Bacillaceae. The record is from RNAcentral.